AGAUAUUUUAAUAUAUAUAUAUAUAUAUAUACCUUAUAUAAUUCUAAUUUUUAAUAAUUAUAAAAAG
This 67-nucleotide transfer RNA is filed under the name Tetragnatha maxillosa. RNAcentral describes it as "tRNA-Val". The record is from RNAcentral. Lineage: Eukaryota; Metazoa; Arthropoda; Arachnida; Araneae; Tetragnathidae.